RNAcentral lists this long non-coding RNA (412 nucleotides) under Dasypus novemcinctus (nine-banded armadillo). RNAcentral's name for it is "lncRNA (ENSDNOG00000050412.1)". Lineage: Eukaryota; Metazoa; Chordata; Mammalia; Cingulata; Dasypodidae. The record is from RNAcentral.
GGGAAGAAAAAGGAAACAAUUGGUAAAUUUAGAUGCAUUAAAAUUUAUAACAGAUGUAAUGAACAUUGUUUGCAAAUUAAAAGGAAUCUUACAACUGACAAAAUAUUAAAAUCUAGAAAAUAUGAAGAAUGCCUACAAAUCAGUUACAAAAAGACAAAUAAGCAAGCAUCAUAAAUAUAUGACAAUAUGCUCCACUUUAAUAACAAACAUCCAUCUUCCACAGCUAAGUGCUGCUGGAGGAGACCUUCCAGAUUCCUCAGGGCUAAGGCAAGAGCUUCAUGUCCAAGAGAAGGAAGAAAGCAUUCCACCUGCAUUAUGAAAUCUGCAGUUGAGAUCUCUGGUGAUAAGAAUUAUAUUGCAACAGAACAGGACUCAUCAACAUGAAUGAAGAAGGAAGGGAAGUCACAAGCAC